UCGAUGAAUAUGUAAAUCGUUUAAAUCGAGUUUAUCCUGAACGUGAGCCUAUAAUUGCGCUGAAAUAUACAUUUUAUAUUGAGGAGAUUAAAUGCUGGUUAACACAAUUUCAACAAAGAAUUGAUCGCAAAUCAAUUGAAAGAUAUUGCAAUAUAGAAAUGUCUCACUAUGAAAAGCUAUCCUCGAUACGAAAUGAGUUGGACAGAUAUA
Non-coding RNA from Nylanderia fulva, 210 nucleotides. Lineage: Eukaryota; Metazoa; Arthropoda; Insecta; Hymenoptera; Formicidae. The record is from RefSeq and is a predicted model, not a curated record.